GAGAAGAUAUUCUAGGUCCUACUUGAGUGGACACCGGUAGAGGCCAGGUGCUUGCGUGUCUACAUCAGAACCUCGAGCUGUGCUGAGAUCAUCUAUAGGGUAAUCAGAUUACCUUUGAGGUAUGUCUAUACUUCUCAUACUUUUUUAUUUAAUUUUAGAUUUUAACUAUCAGAUAAUAAAAUUAAAUCUAACAGACAUUAGAUUUGAAAUAGGGUAGGAUAAAAUUUUUAAAUUAUUCCACCCC
RNAcentral lists this long non-coding RNA (244 nucleotides) under Elaeis guineensis (African oil palm). RNAcentral's name for it is "long non-coding RNA (EGUI_LNC078978)". The record is from RNAcentral. Lineage: Eukaryota; Viridiplantae; Streptophyta; Magnoliopsida; Arecales; Arecaceae.